GGUAAUUUCUAUCUUCUCGUCUCUCACGUUUUUCUCUUCUUUCUGUUAAUUUUCUCGGAAAAUCUCCAGAAAUUCUGUUUCUGUCUCGAGACCUUUAUUUAUUUAUUUUUACAAUUUUUUUUUGCUCCUAGAUCACAUAAUUCUAAAUUUUGGUUAAUCUGACACACGAUCUCUGUUUUUUGUUUUUGGAUUUGUACAGUUGCAAAAUGUACCCAGACUUGGAGAGCACCACCACCGAGACGCUUGUCCUCGGCGUUGCUCCGGCCAUGAGCUCUCAGUACGAGGCUUCCGGCGAGACUUUCGUCGCCGAGAACGAUGCCUGCAAGUGCGGAUCUGACUGCAAGUGCAACCCUUGCACCUGCAAAUGAACAACUCCUCUCAUGAACCCUAAACCCAGUGUCUUGUCUGUAAUAACCCUAAUGUUAUGUUAGGUUUCGUUAUGUGUAAUAAUGGCUCAUUUCGCCGGUAGUUUUACCGGAGAACGUUGGUCUUU
Molecule: long non-coding RNA, 493 nt
Filed under: Capsella grandiflora
Lineage: Eukaryota; Viridiplantae; Streptophyta; Magnoliopsida; Brassicales; Brassicaceae
Description: long non-coding RNA (CGRA_LNC001296)
Source: RNAcentral